UACGUAGGGUGCAAGCGUUGUCCGGAAUUAUUGGGCGUAAAGAGCUCGUAGGCGGUCUGUCGCGUCGGAUGUGAAAAUCCAGGGCUCAACCCUGGACCUGCAUUCGAUACGGGCAGACUAGAGUUCGGCAGGGGAGACUGGAAUUCCUGGUGUAGCGGUGAAAUGCGCAGAUAUCAGGAGGAACACCGGUGGCGAAGGCGGUUCUCUGGGCAUGUCCUGACGCUGAGGAGCGAAAGUGUGGGGAGCGAACAGG
RNAcentral lists this ribosomal RNA (253 nucleotides) under uncultured bacterium. RNAcentral's name for it is "partial 16S ribosomal RNA". It matches the Rfam family "Bacterial small subunit ribosomal RNA", at positions 524 to 776 of the family's 1533-position model. The record is from RNAcentral.